GAUGAACGCUGGCGGCGUGCCUAAUACAUGCAAGUAGAACGCACAGUUUAUACCGUAGCUUGCUACACCAUAGACUGUGAGUUGCGAACGGGUGAGUAACGCGUAGGUAACCUGCCUGGUAGCGGGGGAUAACUAUUGGAAACGAUAGCUAAUACCGCAUAAUAUUGAUUAUUGCAUGAUAAUUGAUUGAAAGAUGCUAUUGCAUCACUACCAGAUGGACCUGCGUUGUAUUAGCUAGUAGGUGAGGUAACGGCUCACCUAGGCGACGAUACAUAGCCGACCUGAGAGGGUGAUCGGCCACACUGGGACUGAGACACGGCCCAGACUCCUACGGGAGGCAGCAGUAGGGAAUCUUCGGCAAUGGACGAAAGUCUGACCGAGCAACGCCGCGUGAGUGAAGAAGGUUUUCGGAUCGUAAAGCUCUGUUGUAAGAGAAGAACGGAUGUGAGAGUGGAAAGUUCACACUGUGACGGUAUCUUACCAGAAAGGGACGGCUAACUACGUG
This 505-nucleotide ribosomal RNA is filed under the name uncultured bacterium. RNAcentral describes it as "partial 16S ribosomal RNA". It matches the Rfam family "Bacterial small subunit ribosomal RNA", at positions 28 to 507 of the family's 1533-position model. The record is from RNAcentral.